RNAcentral lists this ribosomal RNA (806 nucleotides) under uncultured bacterium. Its description in RNAcentral is "bacterial SSU rRNA". It matches the Rfam family "Bacterial small subunit ribosomal RNA", at positions 8 to 796 of the family's 1533-position model. The record is from RNAcentral.
AGAGUUUGAUCCUGGCUCAGGAUGAACGCUGGCGGCGUGCCUAAUACAUGCAAGUCGAGCGAACGGACGAGAAGCUUGCUUCUCUGAUGUUAGCGGCGGACGGGUGAGUAACACGUGGAUAACCUACCUAUAAGACUGGGAUAACUUCGGGAAACCGGAGCUAAUACCGGAUAAUAUUUUGAACCGCAUGGUUCAAAAGUGAAAGACGGUCUUGCCGUCACUUAUAGAUGGAUCCGCGCUGCAUUAGCUAGUUGGUAAGGUAACGGCUUACCAAGGCAACGAUGCAUAGCCGACCUGAGAGGGUGAUCGGCCACACUGGAACUGAGACACGGUCCAGACUCCUACGGGAGGCAGCAGUAGGGAAUCUUCCGCAAUGGGCGAAAGCCUGACGGAGCAACGCCGCGUGAGUGAUGAAGGUCUUCGGAUCGUAAAACUCUGUUAUUAGGGAAGAACAUAUGUGUAAGUAACUGUGCACAUCUUGACGGUACCUAAUCAGAAAGCCACGGCUAACUACGUGCCAGCAGCCGCGGUAAUACGUAGGUGGCAAGCGUUAUCCGGAAUUAUUGGGCGUAAAGCGCGCGUAGGCGGUUUUUUAAGUCUGAUGUGAAAGCCCACGGCUCAACCGUGGAGGGUCAUUGGAAACUGGAAAACUUGAGUGCAGAAGAGGAAAGUGGAAUUCCAUGUGUAGCGGUGAAAUGCGCAGAGAUAUGGAGGAACACCAGUGGCGAAGGCGACUUUCUGGUCUGUAACUGACGCUGAUGUGCGAAAGCGUGGGGAUCAAACAGGAUUAGAUACCCUGGUAGUCC